GGUAGCUUGCUACCUGCCGGCGAGUGGCGAACGGGUGAGUAAUACAUCGGAACGUGCCCUGUAGUGGGGGAUAACUAGUCGAAAGACUAGCUAAUACCGCAUACGACCUGAGGGUGAAAGUGGGGGACCGCAAGGCCUCAUGCUAUAGGAGCGGCCGAUGUCUGAUUAGCUAGUUGGUGGGGUAAAGGCCCACCAAGGCGACGAUCAGUAGCUGGUCUGAGAGGACGAUCAGCCACACUGGGACUGAGACACGGCCCAGACUCCUACGGGAGGCAGCAGUGGGCCCAAA
This 289-nucleotide ribosomal RNA is filed under the name Ralstonia solanacearum. RNAcentral's name for it is "partial 16S ribosomal RNA". It matches the Rfam family "Bacterial small subunit ribosomal RNA", at positions 74 to 358 of the family's 1533-position model. The record is from RNAcentral. Lineage: Bacteria; Pseudomonadati; Pseudomonadota; Betaproteobacteria; Burkholderiales; Burkholderiaceae.